CUAAUGCUCUGUGUUAUUAGGCGUUGCAGAAUUUACAGACAUAUUAGUUACGUUUAUAGAAUAGAGUAAAACGUUUUAAAUGAAACAACGAUGUUUUUGUGUCCAUGAACAUCAACAAUACAUCGACACUAGUAUAAGGAUAAGGCAUUUAAAGAUGUUGGUGUAACGUGUAUGGUGUUCGCUGCAGCCGUGCAUAGUGGACUUCGUAUCCAAGUGUAUUCCUAAAAAUUAAAAUGUUUUAUGCCGAAGCCGUGGCGUGAAGCAAGUAUUCACAAUGUUCAAGCGACUGAAGGAAAGGAUAGAGGAAGUAAAGCAAACUCCUUUACGAUUUCCCCAGUUCCCAGCUCAGGCAGAAAGCGGAGACGAUUCCACCGCAGCGAAUGACCUCAUGCACUUUGGUGAGACCAAUGGGCCUGCCAUACAGCCGGAACCAAGCAGCACACAGGCUACGCACACAACACCUGAUCAGUUCAGCAUAACAGACGACGACGAUGCAUCAAGCUCUUCCAAUACUCCACAGAAGGACCGAUCUACCCAGGACUCUGCAUUUGAAGAGAUCUCAAUAUCCGAAGACCUGGAAAGACCAAGAACUCCGAGGGCCAGAAACUCGGACGCGGCCAUCCUGCCGGUAUACCACUCUCCCGAUCGGCCACAGUAUGUGCCGCAGUCGGACAUUGAAAGUGAAGUGGAAGACCCACAGCAUGGAAUUAACUUGGAAAGCGUCUCCAAGGAGCAGCUGUUUGCAGCCUUCCAGAAGACACGUGCUCGGGUGCAAAAGUACAAAACGAAAUACACAGAGGUGGUCAAGGCAUACAAGGAGUUGGACGGAGAGAAAGACAAGAUUAAGCGUAUACUAACGGACAGCCAGGACAAAGCCUUGCGGAGGAUUGAGGAGCUUCGAGAGCAGUCGCACUUGGAGCAAAAAGCUAAGGCGCAUCUAGAAGACAACCUGCGUUGCCUGCUUGAAGAGAAAGAAGAGAUGAUCAAAGUACUUCAUACAAAGGUCAGUCUCCUCAAGUCUGGUACCGGUCGAGACGUGGAAUCUAGUGAGACCAAUGAAGAACCCUCAAGAUCUCCCCCUGCUGGGGACGAAGAUAUAGGUGCCUACAAGGAAAAGGUGAAACGCCUCGAAAUUUUGCUUGCCAAAUGCAAGGACACCAUCAAGAGUGGUCGUGAGAGGACCACUCAACUGGUUGAAGAGAAGGAAAGCCUAACGAAAGCUCUUGAACAGAAAGUGAACGAGCUACAGCAAGUGCAGGAGAAAGAAGCGGAGGUACAGGCCGUCCUGCGCGGGAAGCUGCAGGACUUGCGGGAGGAGACAGCUCUGGCACGCGCUCAGCAAGAGGAGGCGAUGGCAGAGACGAAGCGCAACAUACACCACGAACUGGAGCUCAAGGAAAGGCAGCUGACCGAGGCGCAAGAGCAACUGCAGGAAGCACACGCUGCAACCGAAGCCCUUAAAGCGCAGCUGGAAGAGAACAAAGCCACACUUGAAAAGAAAGAGAAGGAGCACGAGGAGGCUCGACAUGGGUUAGAGCAGCAGCUGACUUCUCUGGAAAGGACACUCGAGGAGGAGCGUAAGAUAUCUCUUCAGGAGCUUUCCCGUGGAAAGGCAGCAGCCCUCAACCUCAUGAAGCAAGAAUGUGAGAAAAAGAUUCAGGCUGCAGAGCACAACUGGGUGCAAAGGCUGGAAGCUUCGGAAAAGGAGUACCACCGCAGGAUUUCAGAAAAGGAGAAUGAACUACACAAGGUAGCCAAGAAGCUUUCGGAACUCAAGUCAAUCACGGAGGAAUCCGAAGACUUGGCUGCUGAUGACAGGGAACAGCAGAACUCCACUCCAAAUUACGAAGUGCAAAGAGACAGCUUACUCAAGGACAUCGAACUCUACAAAAAUGUAAAGGAAAAGCUGGAACAGACUGUGAAGGAGCUGAAAGAAGAACUGCAGCAGAAAAAUGUUUGCUUUCAUGCUGAGAAGGAAGACCUGCUUCAAAAGCAUAAGACAGAAGUGGAACAGCUCAGACAAGAGCAUUUGAAUGCUCUGAAAGAAAGUCAAAGUGAACUGGAGAAGGUUUCAAUGCUGCAAGAGGAACUUAAAUACGUGAAGGAAAAGCAUGCCGAAGAAGUCGAAGAAAUGAAGAAGAAUUGGGAACACGCGUGCGACUCAAAUAUUACGUCCUUAAGGGAGCAGCAUGCUCUCGAACUGCAUUCACUUGAAAAGAAGUGGUCGGAGAAGCUAGCGUUCGAAACAAGUGAACUCGAAGCAAAGUUGGAGGAGUUAGCUCAGGCCCAUUCCGCAUUAGUGGAGAGCAGUGCCUCUCUUCAGUCUCAACUCGAUGAAAAGGACAGGCUUCAAAGUGAGGAACUGAGAAGAUUAAAGUCCGAUUAUGAUGCGAGUAGGCUGCUAGCAGAACACAAGCUUUCUGAAGAUUACAAAAAUGAGCUGGCACAUUUGAAGUGCGAGCUGGAGAAAGAGCACAUGGCUCAGGUUAAUGAGUUGAAGAAGGCUACUGAUGCCGCACUUCAGGAAAAGACACUACUGAAGGAAAAGCUGUCUGAGCUUGCCUCAGCCCAUGAAGAAAGCUUAAAGGAGAAGUUGAACGAAAUUGCUACACUUCAACAGCAUAACAAAGACCUUGUCACAGGACACAGCACAUUAGAAGGUGAACUAAGCAGUUAUAAAACCAACAUGCAGACAUUGCAGGAACAAUGUCAGAAGUUAACCAAAGAACGAGAAGAUGUCAGAAAGGAUGAAAGCCAAAGAUUAACGGAGUUACAUGCUGAGAGGGAUUCCUUACAGACGGAGCUUCGACAGCUCCAGUCCCAAUUAAAAGAGUCACAAAGUAGUGUACAAGACCUUGAAAACCAGAUACAAUCCGUAAAAUCUGUACAUGACCAGGAGAAGGAAUAUCUUGAGCAGAAACUGCAACAUGCGCUAAGUGAUGAAAGGCAUAAGUUUGAAGAAGAAAUACAACAACUAAGAAGUGUGCUUGAGAGCACUACCACGUCUCUACAGACAGAGAGGGAGAAAAUUGCAGAGUUGAAUGCUCAGUUGUCAUCCCUCAGGUUAGAGGGAGAGACCGUGUCAGAAGAGAGGGCUUCAGCACGUCUGCGGUGUACAGAACUGGAAGAUCAAUUGAGUGCACAGCUGCAGGCUCUCCAGUCGGCUGAAGAGCAAGUAACGGCACUGUCAUCACAGUACAAUUCCCUGCAGGAAGAAACACAGUUCCUCCACGAUGAACAGCGCAGACUAAGUGACCAUAUAAAGUUCCUAGAAGGCUGCCAGGAUGCGCUUAAGGCUGAGCUUCAGCAAGAACGAGAAGAAAAGUCAUCACUACAAGGAUCUCUCCAGAACGACAGUGAAGAGUUACGAAGGAUACAAAACGAAAGUGACAGCAUAAAGACUUGUCUUGAAGACGAAAUCAAACAGCUCAAAGGGGAAAUAUCCUCUUUGGAGCACAAGCUAGAUGACCUGACCAGUAGCAACACCUUGCUGCAGUGUCAGCACAAGGAACUGACGGUCGUCUCUAAAGCCGAGAGGGAAAAUCUCAAAGAAAUUCACAGCCAGUUGGAAGUUACCCAGGCAGAAAGAGACGCUCUCAACUCGAGGGUAGAAUACCUCACCGAGAAUGAGCAAGGUAUGAACCAGAGGAACGCAGCAUUAGAGAAGGAAGUUCAAGUUCUAAUAGCCACGGUGGAGGACCUUAAAAUGUCCUUGGUCCGAUUAGAGGACGAGAGGAACGGCCUUACCGCGGAGCUGGAUGCAACGAAAGGGCAGUUGCAGACCCUGCGAGUGGCUCACGAGGAUCAACUUCAGAGCAGCCUGAAAGAGAGGGAGACCUUUCAGAAGGCACUGGGUGAUCUGGAGAGCCAGUAUAACAUAGCAGUGGAGGAACAGAAAGCAGUGGAGCAAGAGGUGAAAGCCCUGAGAAGCAAAGACGAAGACGCAAAUCAUUAUUUGGAGGAGCACGACAAACUAGCAUGCAGAGUGGACGAACUUGAAGAAGAAAACAAGGCAUUACGUUGCGCACAUGAGGAGAGGAUGAAAUUAUUUGAGGACCAACUGGCUGAGAAGUCUAAAGAGAUAUUGUGCUAUACUGAAAAGCUUGCGCAGUCCGAGUUAUCCCAUGCAGCAGAAGUUGAGGAGUUACAUAAAGGGGCGAAGGAGAAGGAAGAGCAGUACAGGUCACAAAUUGACACACUGCAGCAGGAUUUGAAGACACGGACGGAACAGCUGGAUGAAAGCCUGAUUGUGGCUGAGGAAAGGGCUGCUCUAGCAGCAGUGCAGCUUCAGGAAGCUGUUCACAACGUAACAGCUCAAAGCGAUGCUGAGCUUGCGUCAACCAACAAAGAGCUUUCACAGAAAAUAUCCAGUCUUGAAGCAGAGCUAUCAAGGCAGAUGGCUGAGGCUAAGGGAAAGAUCCAAGAGCUGGAGGACACUCUUGCCGAAAAGGACAGUGCCAUUCACAGUCAAUUUAAAGAGGUGGCUCGCUCUUUUUCUUCCCAGCUGGAAGCACAGGAGGCUGAACAUGAUCAGUCUUUAUCAAAUGCAAUAGAUAAAGCCCAGCAGAUCGAGGCAAAGCUGGCAAUCGAGCACCGCCGUGAAAUGGAAGCGCUCGAGCAAGAGUUGGCCGAGAAAGUGAACGCACUGGAAGAGGUACACGAGCACUACCAGGAGCUUCUGAAGCAAAAGGAUGAGGAGCUCAAGACGCUCCGCAGCGAGACGGGCCGUCCCUCGGAGCCCGCGGAAGAUGGUGGAUGGGAUGAUGAGUGGCCGAAAAUAGAUGAGGAGGAAUGGAGUGGACCGUCAAGUGACCAUUCCCCGGCACACCAGAACCAAGCUAAAGGAAACAAGAACUACGAUAAAAGCACCGUUUACCUGCAGCAAAUAGAGACCCUGAAGUUGGCCAUUGGGAAGUACCAAGAUGAAAUUGGAGAUCUGCGGUGCAUUCUGGGAUCGCGGCAGAAUAACAAUGGAAGUCCAGCGUCGAAGAACUGCGUGAGGCUUCCGGAGCCCACCGAGUAUGAGUACUUGAGGAACAUACUCUUCGAGUAUAUGAUGGGGAAGGAGACUGUGACCCUAUGCAAAGUAAUAGCAGCAGUGCUGAAGUUUACAGAUGAGCAGACCAAUCAGAUCCUUCAGCGAGAAGCAGCGAAACAACAAGUCCAGGUACAGGAAAAGUAAAAAAUGAAAUCAUGAACACCAGGUGCACUGUUGUUUGGCUGAAGAGCUUUGGCACUUCAGUGGUCUCAGAGGUGAUUCUCAAGGUUACUUUUCAACACAGCUAAAAAUACUGAGCAGCAGGCUCAUGCUGCACUAUGCCGUACCAUUCCAACAAAUGUAAAUUACCGAUGUGUUCCGCAAAUAUUUAUAUAUAUAUGUAUAUGGAAAAUAUUAAGAUAGUUUAUAAGGAUGCAAUAAAGAUGGGUAUUCUA
RNA transcript from Ornithodoros turicata, 5433 nucleotides. It is a transcript of the gene named golgin subfamily A member 4-like, with no coding region annotated. NCBI's taxonomy places the organism in Eukaryota, Metazoa, Arthropoda, Arachnida, Ixodida, Argasidae. The record is from RefSeq and is a predicted model, not a curated record. The transcript is spliced from 27 exons.